GACGAACCGAGCGAACGUUGUUCGGAAUCACUGGGCUUAAAGGGCGCGUAGGCGGGUGCUCAAGUCCGUGGUGAAAUCCUCCGGCUCAACCGGAGAACUGCCUCGGAUACUGGGCGUCUCGAGUGUGGUAGGGGUAUGCGGAACUAUCGGUGGAGCGGUGAAAUGCGUUGAUAUCGAUAGGAACUCCGGUGGCGAAGGCGGCAUACUGGACCACCACUGACGCUGAUGCGCGAAAGCGUGGGGAGCGAACAGG
RNAcentral lists this ribosomal RNA (253 nucleotides) under uncultured bacterium. RNAcentral describes it as "partial 16S ribosomal RNA". It matches the Rfam family "Bacterial small subunit ribosomal RNA", at positions 524 to 776 of the family's 1533-position model. The record is from RNAcentral.